GUUGAACGCUGGCGGCAUGCCUUACACAUGCAAGUCGAACGGCAGCACGGGUGCUUGCACCUGGUGGCGAGUGGCGAACGGGUGAGUAAUACAUCGGAACGUACCUUUUCGUGGGGGAUAACGCAGCGAAAGCUGUGCUAAUACCGCAUACGCCCUGAGGGGGAAAGCGGGGGAUCGCAAGACCUCGCGCGAUUCGAGCGGCCGAUGCCUGAUUAGCUAGUUGGUGGGGUAAAAGCCCACCAAGGCGACGAUCAGUAGCUGGUCUGAGAGGACGAUCAGCCACACUGGGACUGAGACACGGCCCAGACUCCUACGGGAGGCAGCAGUGGGGAAUUUUGGACAAUGGGGGCAACCCUGAUCCAGCAAUGCCGCGUGAGUGAAGAAGGCCUUCGGGUUGUAAAGCUCUUUUGUCAGGGAAGAAACACCGGCUCUAACACAGUCCGGGAAUGACGGUACCUGAAGAAUAAGCACCGGCUAACUACGUGCCAGCCGCCGCUGUAA
Molecule: ribosomal RNA, 501 nt
Filed under: uncultured bacterium
Lineage: Bacteria
Description: partial 16S ribosomal RNA
Rfam family: Bacterial small subunit ribosomal RNA
Source: RNAcentral